This 253-nucleotide ribosomal RNA is filed under the name uncultured bacterium. RNAcentral describes it as "partial 16S ribosomal RNA". It matches the Rfam family "Bacterial small subunit ribosomal RNA", at positions 524 to 776 of the family's 1533-position model. The record is from RNAcentral.
UACGGAGGGUGCGAGCGUUGUCCGGAAUCAUUGGGCGUAAAGGGCGCGUAGGCGGCCAAGCAAGUCCUGGGUGAAAUCCCUCGGCUCAACCGAGGAACUGCCUCGGAAACUGCAUGGCUCGAGGCCGGGAGAGGGUAGCGGAAUUCCCAGUGUAGCGGUGAAAUGCGUAGAUAUUGGGAGGAACACCGGUGGCGAAGGCGGCUACCUGGACCGGUUCUGACGCUGAUGCGCGAAAGCGUGGGGAGCAAACAGG